Molecule: ribosomal RNA, 615 nt
Filed under: Marinobacter alkaliphilus
Lineage: Bacteria; Pseudomonadati; Pseudomonadota; Gammaproteobacteria; Pseudomonadales; Marinobacteraceae
Description: bacterial SSU rRNA
Rfam family: Bacterial small subunit ribosomal RNA
Source: RNAcentral
UCGAGCGGUAACAGGGGGUGCUUGCACCCCGCUGACGAGCGGCGGACGGGUGAGUAAUGCUUAGGAAUCUGCCCAGUAGUGGGGGAUAGCCCGGGGAAACCCGGAUUAAUACCGCAUACGUCCUACGGGAGAAAGCAGGGGAUCUUCGGACCUUGCGCUAUUGGAUGAGCCUAAGUCGGAUUAGCUAGUUGGUGGGGUAAAGGCCUACCAAGGCGACGAUCCGUAGCUGGUCUGAGAGGAUGAUCAGCCACAUCGGGACUGAGACACGGCCCGAACUCCUACGGGAGGCAGCAGUGGGGAAUAUUGGACAAUGGGGGCAACCCUGAUCCAGCCAUGCCGCGUGUGUGAAGAAGGCUUUCGGGUUGUAAAGCACUUUCAGCGAGGAGGAAGGCCUUAAAGUUAAUACCUUUGAGGAUUGACGUUACUCGCAGAAGAAGCACCGGCUAACUCCGUGCCAGCAGCCGCGGUAAUACGGAGGGUGCAGGCGUUAAUCGGAAUUACUGGGCGUAAAGCGCGCGUAGGUGGUUAGGUAAGCGAGAUGUGAAAGCCCCGGGCUUAACCUGGGAACGGCAUUUCGAACUGUCUGACUAGAGUGUGGUAGAGGGUAGUGGAAUU